GCUCCCACAAACAAACAAACAAACAAACACGCAAACAAACCAAUUAAACAAAGUACCUAUCGUUGUGCUCUCACCCAGAGCCAUGGCAACACUACAGUCUUUGUUGUUGUGUUCUCAGCAGUAAGGCCACGUUAUGACGUGCUGCCCGGGCGGGGCAGAAGGGCAGCUGCCUCCGCUGGAAUCACGCGUGGCAGUUGCAAACGACCGUCCUGAUCGGCUCCUUGUAGUAAUUAUCUUAAUGGGCUCAUUCAAAACCUCUUCAUUGUGGAAUCAGUUAAUUAAUUAGUUGUUGCACUGACAGGAUAAUGGCGAGAGCAUGCUAAAUAGAUUAGUCUGGAACUUGAUUUAUUGUAGCAGAGCACCCCACCACCACCACAACCACCACCACCACAACCACCACCACCCCCACCAACACCAUUAUCACCACCAUCAGCACCUCCACCACACGAACACCACCUCCAUCAUCACCACUACCACACCACCUCCACCACCAUCACAACCACCACCACCACCAUCACAACCACCACCACCACAACCACAACCACCAUCACCACCACAACCACCACCACCACCACCACCACUACCAUCACCUCCACCACCACCACCACCACCACCACCAGUACUAUCACCAACACCACCAUCACCACCAUCAUCACCACCACCACCACCACUACAAUCACCAACACCACCAUCACCACCACCAUCACCACAACCAUCACCACCUCCACCACCUCCACCACCACAGCCACCACCACCACCACCACCUCCACCAACACCACCACCACCACCACCACCACCACCACUACUAUCACCAACACCACCAUCACCACCAUCAUCACCACUACCACCAUCACCACAACCACCACCACCUCCACCACCAUCACCACCACCAACAUCACCACAACCACCACCAACUCCACUACCACCACCACCACCACCAUCACCUCCACCCUCACCUCACCACCACCACCACCCCAUCACCUCCACCACCGUCUCACCACUACCACCACCACUACCAACCUCU
RNAcentral lists this long non-coding RNA (1024 nucleotides) under Gadus morhua (Atlantic cod). RNAcentral describes it as "lncRNA (ENSGMOG00000034934.1)". Lineage: Eukaryota; Metazoa; Chordata; Actinopteri; Gadiformes; Gadidae. The record is from RNAcentral.